AAGGCUCUAUCUUAAUUAAAGAGUGGGACUUGCAAUCCCGAGAUGUGGGUUACACCCCCACGAGUCUUA
RNAcentral lists this transfer RNA (69 nucleotides) under Breviceps adspersus (bushveld rain frog). RNAcentral describes it as "tRNA-Ala". It matches the Rfam family "tRNA". Rfam says of the family: Transfer RNA (tRNA) molecules are approximately 80 nucleotides in length. Their secondary structure includes four short double-helical elements and three loops (D, anti-codon, and T loops). Lineage: Eukaryota; Metazoa; Chordata; Amphibia; Anura; Brevicipitidae. The record is from RNAcentral.